RNAcentral lists this ribosomal RNA (168 nucleotides) under Triticum aestivum (bread wheat). RNAcentral's name for it is "partial small subunit ribosomal RNA". The record is from RNAcentral. Lineage: Eukaryota; Viridiplantae; Streptophyta; Magnoliopsida; Poales; Poaceae.
AUGGCGGAGGCUGUUGUCGGGCACCUGGUGGUCAUGCUCGGCUCGGCGCUGGCGACAGAGGCGGCCACCUUCGGCUGGGCGCUGCUGUGCCAGGAAACCGCCGCCCUGAGGGGCCUCUUCGGCAAGAUCCGCGAGUCCAAGGCGUCUCUAAUGAAUUCAUUUUCAUAA